GGGGGCGUAUUGGUUUCGACGGGAUUGUUGAGACUUGAGUAGCGGGUAGAGGAUUCUCGUUGGCCUCUUAAAAAACGAGAAACUAAAAUUAAACGCUAAAAACGAUAACUUUAAUUACGCUUUAGCAGCUUAGUCUGCUAACCGUCAGUCCCAGGUUCCUGCACCUGGGGGCACUGGCGUCAUUAAGUCAGGCCUUAGGCAUAGGAAGGUUAAAUGUCUGAACUGAUCCGAUGGUAGCCUUGAGUCGGUUCGGAACUUAAAGGAUACGGUAGCGUAGACCCUUCCGUUGGGGGAUGCGUGUCAGGAAUGUCAAAUUGACGGAUACACCCGUAGAAGCACUUGUGGAUAUGGUUUCGGACAGGGGUUCGACUCCCCUCGCCUCCACCA
This 387-nucleotide transfer-messenger RNA is filed under the name Bacillota bacterium. It matches the Rfam family "transfer-messenger RNA". Rfam says of the family: Bacterial tmRNA, also known as 10Sa RNA or SsrA, is named for its dual tRNA and mRNA-like properties. Its role is to liberate the mRNA from a stalled ribosome. To accomplish this part of the tmRNA is used as a reading frame that ends in a translation stop signal. Lineage: Bacteria; Bacillati; Bacillota. The record is from RNAcentral.